GACGAACGCUGGCGGCGUGCUUAACACAUGCAAGUCGAACGGAAAGGCCCUGCUUUUGUGGGGUGCUCGAGUGGCGAACGGGUGAGUAACACGUGAGUAACCUGCCCUUGACUUUGGGAUAACUUCAGGAAACUGGGGCUAAUACCGGAUAGGAGCUCCUGCUGCAUGGUGGGGGUUGGAAAGUUUCGGCGGUUGGGGAUGGACUCGCGGCUUAUCAGCUUGUUGGUGGGGUAGUGGCUUACCAAGGCUUUGACGGGUAGCCGGCCUGAGAGGGUGACCGGCCACAUUGGGACUGGGAUACGGCCCAGACUCCUACGGGAGGCAGCAGUGGGGAAUAUUGCACAAUGGGCGGAAGCCGGAUGCAGCAACGCCGCGUGCGGGAUGACGGCCUUCGGGUGGUAAACCGCUUUCGCCUGUGACGAAGCGUGAGUGACGGUAUGGGUAAAGAAGCACCGGCUAACUACGUG
Molecule: ribosomal RNA, 467 nt
Filed under: uncultured bacterium
Lineage: Bacteria
Description: partial 16S ribosomal RNA
Rfam family: Bacterial small subunit ribosomal RNA
Source: RNAcentral